AUUGAACGCUGGCGGCAUGCCUUACACAUGCAAGUCGAACGGCAGCACGGGAGCAAUCCUGGUGGCGAGUGGCGAACGGGUGAGUAAUACAUCGGAACGUGCCCAGUAGUGGGGGAUAACCCGGCGAAAGCCGGACUAAUACCGCAUACGACCUACGGGUGAAAGCGGGGGAUCGCAAGACCUCGCGCUAUCGGAGCGGCCGAUGUCAGAUUAGCUAGUUGGUGGGGUAAAGGCCUACCAAGGCGACGAUCUGUAGCUGGUCUGAGAGGACGGCCAGCCACACUGGGACUGAGACACGGCCCAGACUCCUACGGGAGGCAGCAGUGGGGAAUUUUGGACAAUGGGCGCAAGCCUGAUCCAGCCAUGCCGCGUGCGGGAAGAAGGCCUUCGGGUUGUAAACCGCUUUUGUCAGGGAAGAAACGCUCCGGGCUAAUACCACGGAGUAAUGACGGUACCUGAAGAAUAAGCACCGGCUAACUACGUG
RNAcentral lists this ribosomal RNA (484 nucleotides) under uncultured bacterium. Its description in RNAcentral is "partial 16S ribosomal RNA". It matches the Rfam family "Bacterial small subunit ribosomal RNA", at positions 29 to 507 of the family's 1533-position model. The record is from RNAcentral.